UGACGGAGUCCAGGCAGGUCACAGGUGCUGCACUUGAAUGGGGGAUAAUUGAUAAGUGUGAAUGAGAGGAGUAGCAGGAAGAGGAUGAUUUGCCAUUUUGCAAAAAGGGCAAUAACAGAGAAAUAGAGGCCACCAUCUGUGUGAAUACUUCACUGUGAUUAUCUCUCACCAUCAUCAAAUAGUUCAGAGCACUGAUCCUCACGAGUUGGACAUUUCCCCAUGAAACAGUAGCCUUCUGAGUUCUUACAAGGAAAUCCAUUGACCCUGAACUGGUCCUUAGGACAGGCAGGCGAGUGGCCAGUGCACAUCUCAGGAAAAUCACAUUCAUCUUUCGCCGGCCUGCAUAUGGACCCUGCUUUUUUUAUCUGUUGAGGAAAAACAAAGAGACUAAAUCCUGGAUACAUUUAGGGUCGUACUGCUUCCCUGUACUGAAGUGUGAUGUGAGACUAUUCAGCUGCUGAAGAUCUGAUUUUACCUUUUGCUCAAGCUGCCCAUUAUUUCAGGCUGACUUUUAUUUUUUAAAGUAUCAUUAAAUAACAUCAAAAUGGUAACUUCUGCCCUAUUUUCUCAAAC
Molecule: long non-coding RNA, 573 nt
Filed under: Pan troglodytes (chimpanzee)
Lineage: Eukaryota; Metazoa; Chordata; Mammalia; Primates; Hominidae
Description: long non-coding RNA NONPTRT017003
Source: RNAcentral